This is a long non-coding RNA of Eriocheir sinensis (Chinese mitten crab), 1445 nucleotides long. RefSeq lists it as uncharacterized. The transcript is spliced from 2 exons. Lineage: Eukaryota; Metazoa; Arthropoda; Malacostraca; Decapoda; Varunidae. The record is from RefSeq and is a predicted model, not a curated record.
AACAAAGAUGCAGAGAGAGAGAGAGAGAGAGAGAGAGAGAGAGAGAGAGAGAGAGAGAGAGAGAGAGAGAGAGAGAGAGAGAGAGACUAAAAUAAGAAACCAGAAGAAACAAGGAAGAGUGUCUGGAAUAUGGAGAAAGGAAGAGAGCGGGGAAGUUGAAAGCAUCAGAAAGGGAAAUGAAUAAGAAUGCAAAGAAUAGGAGACAAGACUUAUGGGGAGAAAGACGAGAAUACAGAUGCUGAUUACUAUGGGGAGAGAGGUAGAGGGGAGGAGUUCAUAAGGAAGGAAGGGGAGAAAGCUUGAGGUACAGUACAUCUAGACGUGAGAGGAAUGAAAGAGAGGAGGAACAAAGGGAUAUGGAAGGGGAAUAACGACGAGAGAAGGGGAGUAGACCGUUGUGUAGGGGAGAGGAAAAGGGCAAAGAACACGUCAUUAGGAUGCAGGUAGAGCCGUCGUAGGAUAAGGGGAAGGGUGGAAGACAUAGUAGUGAAUGGCAAGGGAGGAAAUAUGAACCAGGCGGGAGCGAUGGAGGAGAGAAAAAUGAGAUGGUAUAUGAAGGAACAUGCGACAUAGAAAGAGUGAAGAGAGAUAAUAGAAUAAGAUGAAACGAAAGGAAUUCAAGGCAUAAAGGAAGGAAGGAAAAGAAGGAAACAAAGUGAGAGGAAAAGGGUGAAAAUAAAGAGGAAAAUGAGACAAUGGAGAUAUGAAGGAACUUGACGUAUAAAGAGUGAAGAGAAUAAACAGUGAAAUGAAACUAAAGGAAUCGAACACAUAAAGGAAGGAAGGAAUAGAAGGAAACAAAAUGAAAGGAAAAAGGUGAAAAUAAAAAGAGGAAAAUGAGAUAACGGGAGAUAGAAAGGAACAUACGACAUGUAAAGAGUGAAGAAAAUAAAGAAUAAGAUUUAACUAAAGGAAUUGAACACAUAAAGGAAGGAAGGAAAAGAAGGAAACAAAAUGAAAGGAAAAAGGUGAAAAUAAAAGGAAGAAAAUGAGAUAACGGGAGAUAGAAAGUAACAUACGACAUAAUAAAGAGGGAAGAAAAUAAAGAGUAAAGAUGAAACCAAAGGAGAACACAUAAAGGAAGGAGGAAAAGGUGGAAAACAAGAGACCAAAAAAAAAAAAAAGGAAAGAAAAUGAGAUGAUGAAGAUGGAAAGGGUCAGACCACAGAAAAAGGGAAGAGAAAAAAAAAGUAUAAAAUGAAACUAAAUAAGUAGAACACAAAGCAUAUACCUGAAGGAAGCUUAAAAUAUAUAGAAAGGAACAAGAAAAGAGGAGAAAGAAGAGACAAAAAAAAAAAACGCGGGAAAGAGAAAGUAAGAAAAAAAAGAGCAGAUAAGAUGCCAAUAAAGAGAAGGGAGUGAGACCCGAAAGAAGAGAGAGAGAGAGAGAGAGAGAGAGAGAGAGAGAGAGAGAGAGAGAGAGAGAGAGGAGGGGGGGGGGGUGG